AUCUCAUAGGUGCAGUGUCGGGUGUCAUGAGUUCAGUCACUUCCAGAACCCAGGGACACUCCCUCCCUCACCAAUGGGAUGAAGAGAAGGUUUUUCCAACAGAAGCGCAGAGCACAAUGCCUCUCCAUUAAAGGAAGCACCAGCAAUCCUGUGGACCUCAUAUCUAGAAUUAAAAAUCGAGAAGGUUCUUUCUAGAUGUAUCUCCUAAGGAAAGGGAAACAAAAGCACAAAUAAACUAUUGGGACUACAUCAAAAUGAAAAGCUUCUGCACGGCAAAGGAAACAAUGGACAAAACCAAAAGACAACAUCCUGAAUGGGAGAAAAUAUUUGCAAAUGAUACAUCUGAGAAGAGGAACUAACAUGGAUAUGCUGUCAUUAAGAUUUGUCAAUCUAAAUGACAAGAACUUAUGGACAUAAUGGCAUCGAAUUUCUGAACUGAGAUCAUCCUAGAAUAUUU
Canis lupus familiaris (dog) is the source of this 457-nucleotide long non-coding RNA. RefSeq lists it as uncharacterized. NCBI's taxonomy places the organism in Eukaryota, Metazoa, Chordata, Mammalia, Carnivora, Canidae. The transcript has 3 exons. The record is from RefSeq and is a predicted model, not a curated record.